RNAcentral lists this unclassified non-coding RNA (288 nucleotides) under Malbranchea sp. Its description in RNAcentral is "partial contains 5.8S ribosomal RNA, internal transcribed spacer 2, and large subunit ribosomal RNA". The stretch from base 1 to 71 matches the Rfam family "5.8S ribosomal RNA", at positions 84 to 154 of the family's 154-position model. The record is from RNAcentral. Lineage: Eukaryota; Fungi; Ascomycota; Eurotiomycetes; Onygenales; Malbrancheaceae.
GUGAAUCAUCGAAUCUUUGAACGCACAUUGCGCCCCCUGGUAUUCCGGGGGGCAUGCCUGUCCGAGCGUCAUUGCAACCCUCAAGCACGGCUUGUACGUUGGGUGUCGUCCCCCCGGGGACGCGCCUGAAAGGCAAUGGCGGCGCCCGCAUCGGAGCCCGAGCGUAUGGGAAACCUUUCCGCUCGAUGUGGCCCCGGUCGGCGCUGGUCGUCACCCAUUCUUUUUACCGGUUGACCUCGGAUCAGGUAGGGAUACCCGCUGAACUUAAGCAUAUCAAUAAGCGGAGGA